CAGGGAUUGCCCCAGUAACGGCGAGUGAAGCGGCAACAGCUCAAAUUUGAAAUCUGGUCCCUAGGGCCCGAGUUGUAAUUUGUAGAGGAUGCUUUUGGUGAGGUGCCGCCCGAGUUCCCUGGAACGGGACGCCACAGAGGGUGAGAGCCCCGUCUGGCUGGCCGCCGAGCCUCUGUAAAGCUCCUUCGACGAGUCGAGUAGUUUGGGAAUGCUGCUCAAAAUGGGAGGUAUAUGUCUUCUAAAGCUAAAUAUUGGCCAGAGACCGAUAGCGCACAAGUAGAGUGAUCGAAAGAUGAAAAGCACCUUGAAAAGAGGGUUAAAUAGUACGUGAAAUUGUUGAAAGGGAAGCGCUUGUGACCAGACUUGGGCGCGGCGGAUCAUCCGGGGUUCUCUCCGGUGCACUUCGCCGCGUCUAGGCCAGCAUCAGUUCGUCGCGGGGGAAAAAGGCUCCGGGAACGUGGCUCCUCCGGGAGUGUUAUAGCCCGUUGCAUAAUACCCUGCGGUGGACUGAGGACCGCGCAUCUGCAAGGAUGCUGGCGUAAUGGUCACCAGCGACCCGUCUUGAAACACGGACCAAGGAGUCGUCUUCGUAUGCGAGUGUUCGGGUGUCAAACCCCUACGCGUAAUGAAAGUGAACGCAGGUGAGAGCUUCGGCGCAUCAUCGACCGAUCCUGAUGUUCUCGGAUGGAUUUGAGUAAGAGCAUACGGGGCCGGACCCGAAAGAAGGUGAACUAUGCCUGUAUAGGGUGAAGCCAGAGGAAACUCUGGUGGAGGCUCGCAGCGGUUCUGACGUGCAAAUCGAUCGUC
This 807-nucleotide ribosomal RNA is filed under the name Bunonema sp. FTL-2B-1. RNAcentral's name for it is "LSU rRNA". It matches the Rfam family "Eukaryotic large subunit ribosomal RNA", at positions 69 to 906 of the family's 3401-position model. Lineage: Eukaryota; Metazoa; Nematoda; Chromadorea; Rhabditida; Bunonematidae. The record is from RNAcentral.